Molecule: ribosomal RNA, 1211 nt
Filed under: human gut metagenome
Description: bacterial LSU rRNA
Rfam family: Bacterial large subunit ribosomal RNA
Source: RNAcentral
GUGUUAAGUGGAAAAGGAUGUGGGAUUUCAUAGACAACUAGGAUGUUGGCUUAGAAGCAGCCAUACAUUUAAAGAGUGCGUAAUAGCUCACUAGUCGAGAGAACCUGCGCCGAAAAUAAUCGGGGCUAAAACACACCACCGAAGCUACGGAUUUCCUGCUUAAGGUAGGAAGUGGUAGAGGAGCAUACUGCAAGGACGAAGCCUGAUUGAGAGAGAAGGUGGACGAAGCAGUAGAGAGAAUGCCGGAAUGAGUAGCGAGAUAUAUGUGAGAACCAUAUAGGCCGAAUAUCUAAGGUUUCCUGAGUGAAGCUAAUCUGCUCAGGGUAAGUCGGGACCUAAGGCGAGGACGAGAGUCGUAGUCGAUGGACAACUGGUAGAGAUUCCAGUACUAUGUAUAAUCAGAACUGUGGGGACGCAGGAGGAUAGAUGGACCGCGGAAAGGGAAGACGCGGCCAAGUACAAAGUCAAGUUAGGUAGGCAAAUCCGCCAAAUGAUGAUGAAGUACGACGGGGACUGAAAGAAAGUAAGGAAGUCAUUGAACCACACUGCCGAGAAAAGCCGCUAUAGUGUUAUACAUACCCGUACCGUAAACCGACACAGGUAGAUGAGGAGAAAAUCCACAGGCCGACGGGAGAAGUGUUGUUAAGGAACUCGGCAAAAUGACCCCGUAACUUAGGGAGAAGGGGAGCCACGAGAGUGGUCACAGAAAAGAGGCUCAAGCAACUGUUUAGCAAAAACACAGGUCUCUGCGAAACCGAAAGGUGAAGUAUAGGGGCUGACACCUGCCCGGUGCUGGAAGGUUAAAAGGAGAGGUUAGCCGCAAGGCGAAGCUUUGAAUUCAAGCCCCAGUAAACGGCGGCCGUAACUAUAACGGUCCUAAGGUAGCGAAAUUCCUUGUCAGGUAAGUUCUGACCCGCACGAAAGGCGUAAUGAUUUGUGCACUGUCUCGACAACACGCCCGGUGAAAUUGAAGAACCAGUGAAGAUACUGGUUACCCGCAACAGGACGGAAAGACCCCAUGGAGCUUUACUGCAGCCUGAUACUGGGAUUCGAUGAUGUAUGUACAGGAUAGGAGGGAGACUGCGAAGGUAGGACGCCAGUCUUGCCGGAGUCGCCGGUGGGAUACCUCUCUUACAUCAUUGGAUUUCUAACCUGCAUCCGUGAACCGGAUGAGGGACAAUGUCAGGCGGGCAGUUUGACUGGGGCGGUCG